CCCCCAGACUCCUACGGGAGGCAGCAGUGGGGAAUAUUGGACAAUGGGGGGAACCCUGAUCCAGCGACGCCGCGUGAGUGAAGAAGUAUUUCGGUAUGUAAAUCUCUAUCAGCAGGGAAGAAAGAAAUGACGGUACCUGACUAAGAAGCCCCGGCUAACUACGUGCCAGCAGCCGCGGUAAUACGUAGGGGGCAAGCGUUAUCCGGAUUUACUGGGUGUAAAGGGAGCGUAGACGGCGAUGCAAGUCUGAAGUGAAAGGCGGGGGCCCAACCCCCGGACUGCUUUGGAAACUGUAUGGCUGGAGUGCAGGAGAGGUAAGUGGAAUUCCUAGUGUAGCGGUGAAAUGCGUAGAUAUUAGGAGGAACACCAGUGGCGAAGGCGGCUUACUGGACGGUAACUGAUGUUGAGGCUCGAAAGCGUGGGGAGCAAACAGGAUUAGAGACCCUCGUAUUC
This 453-nucleotide ribosomal RNA is filed under the name uncultured bacterium. RNAcentral describes it as "bacterial SSU rRNA". It matches the Rfam family "Bacterial small subunit ribosomal RNA", at positions 328 to 795 of the family's 1533-position model. The record is from RNAcentral.